RNAcentral lists this unclassified non-coding RNA (342 nucleotides) under soil metagenome. RNAcentral's name for it is "partial contains 5.8S ribosomal RNA, internal transcribed spacer 2, and large subunit ribosomal RNA". The stretch from base 1 to 120 matches the Rfam family "5.8S ribosomal RNA", at positions 35 to 154 of the family's 154-position model. The record is from RNAcentral.
GAUGAAGAACGUAGCGAAAUGCGAUAAGUAAUGUGAAUUGCAGAAUUCAGUGAAUCAUCGAAUCUUUGAACGCACAUUGCGCCCGCCAGCACUCUGGCGGGCAUGCCUGUUCGAGCGUCAUUUCAACCAUCAAGCCCCCAGGGGCCUGUGCUGGGGCCCUGCGGCUGCCCGCAGGCCCUGAAAACCAGUGGCGGGCUCGCUAGUCACACCGAGCGCAGUAGCACAUCUCGCUCAGGGCGUGCGGCGGGCUCCUGCCGUGAAACCCCCCACUGUAACCCCAAAGGUUGACCUCGGAUCAGGUAGGAAUACCCGCUGAACUUAAGCAUAUCAAUAAGCGGAGGA